UACGUAGGGGUGCAAGCGUUAUCCGGAAUUAUUGGGCGUAAAGAGCUCGUAGGCGGUUUGUCGCGUCUGCUGUGAAAACCCGAGGCUCAACCUCGGGCCUGCAGUGGGUACGGGCAGACUAGAGUGCGGUAGGGGAGACUGGAAUUCCUGGUGUAGCGGUGAAAUGCGCAGAUAUCAGGAGGAACACCGGUGGCGAAGGCGGAUCUCUGGGCCAUUACUGACGCUGGAGGAGCGAAAGCCGUGGGGAGCGAACAGG
RNAcentral lists this ribosomal RNA (256 nucleotides) under uncultured bacterium. RNAcentral describes it as "partial 16S ribosomal RNA". It matches the Rfam family "Bacterial small subunit ribosomal RNA", at positions 524 to 776 of the family's 1533-position model. The record is from RNAcentral.